Long non-coding RNA from Rosa chinensis, 315 nucleotides. RefSeq lists it as uncharacterized. The record is from RefSeq and is a predicted model, not a curated record. The transcript has 3 exons. NCBI's taxonomy places the organism in Eukaryota, Viridiplantae, Streptophyta, Magnoliopsida, Rosales, Rosaceae.
GGUUAAUGAUGUGUCGUGGCAUUUGAAGAACGAGAAUCUGUUUGGGUCUUUUGGGGACGAUUGUCCAUUGAUGAUAUGGGACUUGAGAACAAAUCAAGCCCAAGACUCUGUCAAAGUUCAUGAGAAAGAGCAUCUUCAGACACUACUGUGGGUCUGUUUGAUAUGCGGAAGCUGACGGUAUGCUCUCAGUGGCCACACAAAGGAGGUAUUCCAGGUUGAAUGGGACCCUAAUCAUGAUACUGUACUGGCAUCUUACGCUGGAGGAAGAUGGCUGGAGGGAGAUGGGGAUGAGCAGUUGGAGGGUGAUGGGGAUGA